Molecule: ribosomal RNA, 457 nt
Filed under: Astropecten platyacanthus
Lineage: Eukaryota; Metazoa; Echinodermata; Asteroidea; Paxillosida; Astropectinidae
Description: partial 12S ribosomal RNA
Source: RNAcentral
UCUUAGCAACCGGAUUUGGUCCUAGUCCUACACUUGGCCCCUUCUAAAGCGACACAUGCAAGCCUUUCGCAACACAGUGAGUAAUUCUUUCAAUAACCACCCUAAAAAGCACGGUUAUAUAAUCAAGGUAUCAGAAAAUCCAAUCCAUAUUCAAUGACACCUAGCCAACCACAUCUGCAGUGCCUAGUAUUAUACAAUAAGUUAAAGCUUGAUAUAGUUAUAGACUUAAGAGUCGGUAAAUUAUGUGCCAGCCACCGCGGUUAUACAUAAGACUCAAGCCAAGAAAUCUAUCGGUCUAAAGGUGACUAAAGAUAACUUCAUUUUAGGGUAGAAAAUAACUCUAGUAUUAAUAAGCUUUCACAGUAAACUAAUUACAACUGUAAUAUUACCCUAAACCUACACCCAACUUGAUGCACCAAAGCUCAAAAAUAAACUGGGAUUAGAUACCCCACUAUAU